Aedes aegypti (yellow fever mosquito) is the source of this 728-nucleotide long non-coding RNA. RefSeq lists it as uncharacterized. Lineage: Eukaryota; Metazoa; Arthropoda; Insecta; Diptera; Culicidae. The record is from RefSeq and is a predicted model, not a curated record. The transcript has 3 exons.
CCAAAACUACCUAGUUUUGAGUUAUUUGAUAGUUGGAAGGAAAACGAUUGUUUCAUUUUGCUUCCUAUUCUGAGAAAGAAUCCAAAAUCAAGUACUGAUCUAGUACUUAAUUUUGGAUGAAAAUUUUAUUUGUAUGCCGUGUUUACAACUGUCAUGGAUCGAAUGCAAGUGUGGUUCGUGGCAUCGUCAAACUCAAUCUGGCACAGCAAUUCAGCCAAUUUUAUGGAAUUCACAGUCUAGAACAAAUAGCACGAGGAUAUCGACACUCAAGAUGGAGAAGCUAAUCUUUUUGGCGUUAAUCGCAGUUGGAACGUUCGGAUACGGAAGACACCAUUCGAGGGCAGAUUUGGACAACAGAGACAAUAACAGUGAAAUAACAAAAGUGAAAAUUUUAUCUCCUGUAUGAGUUUCUUUUAAUUGAAUAAAGCAUAAUUUGUUUCAUUUGGUACAAUUAGUGGUAUUAAUCGAUUUAUCUGAAUUACAUAUAUGAUUAUUUUGAAAAAAUCCGCUUCAGCACAACUCUUCAUAUUGAGUAGUUUUCAUCCAAUAUCGACUGGUCGCAAAACAGUUAAAAUCACUCAAAUCGAAGAAUAAGUGGAAUGAGACAAAAUUAAAUACUUUGCCAACAACUCAAUUUUGAAUCAUUCCACUUAGCUGUCAAAAUGAGUGGAAAAGACUUGAUUUUGAGUUGUUUCACAUCUCCGUGUAUACACUAUAAACUACUUGGA